AACGAACGCUAUCGGUAUGCUUAACACAUGCCAGUCGGACGGACUAAUUAGGGCUUGCUCCAAUUAGUUAGUGGCAGACGGGUGAGUAACACGUGGGAAUCUGCCCAUCAGUACGGAAUAACUUUUAGAAAUAAAAGCUAAUACCGUAUAUUCUCUACAGAGGAAAGAUUUAUCGCUGAUGGAUGAGCCCGCGUCAGAUUAGGUAGUGGGUGAGGUAACGGCUCACCAAGCCGACGAUCUGGAGCUGGGCUGAGAGGAUGGUCGGCCACACUGGGGCUGAGGCACGGCCGAGACUCGGACGGGAGGGGGGGGUGGGGAAUAGUGGGGGAGGGGCGAAGGCGUGAUCCAGCAGGGCCGGGGGAGUGGUAAAGGCGGGAGGGUUGUAAGGCUCGUUUAGCAAGGAAGGUCAUGACGUUACUGGGAGAAAAAGCCCCGGCUAACUCCGUG
Molecule: ribosomal RNA, 447 nt
Filed under: uncultured bacterium
Lineage: Bacteria
Description: partial 16S ribosomal RNA
Rfam family: Bacterial small subunit ribosomal RNA
Source: RNAcentral